GUAUUUUGACUAUACAAAGGUAUUGUAAUAAGACUUUAAUUGAGUGCUAAAAGAAUGGAGUUUCAAAAAAAGUCUAUCUUGAAUUCAAAAAUUGAAUUUAUUUUUAUUUGUGAAGAAACAAUAAUUAAAAUUAAGGACAAGAAGACCCUAAGAAUUUUUAAUUUUGUAUAUAUAUAUUUAUAUAUACAAAAUUUUAAUUGGGGCGAUUAAAAAAUAUAGUUAACUUUUAAUUUUAAAAAAUGAUCCAUUAUUAGUGAUUUAAUGUAAAAAAUACUCUAGGGAUAACAGCGUAAUAA
This 296-nucleotide ribosomal RNA is filed under the name Haemaphysalis flava. RNAcentral's name for it is "partial large subunit ribosomal RNA". Lineage: Eukaryota; Metazoa; Arthropoda; Arachnida; Ixodida; Ixodidae. The record is from RNAcentral.